This 447-nucleotide ribosomal RNA is filed under the name uncultured bacterium. RNAcentral describes it as "partial 16S ribosomal RNA". It matches the Rfam family "Bacterial small subunit ribosomal RNA", at positions 29 to 523 of the family's 1533-position model. The record is from RNAcentral.
AACGAACGCUGGCGGCAGGCCUAACACAUGCAAGUCGAGCGCCCCGCAAGGGGAGCGGCGGACGGGUGAGUAACGCGUGGGAACGUGCCCUUUGCUACGGAAUAGCCCCGGGAAACGGGGUGUAAUACCGUAUAGGCCCUACGGGGGAAAGAUUUUUCGGGAAAGGAAGGGCCGGCGUUGGAGUAGUGAGGUGGGGGGGUAAGGGCCUACCAAGCCGACGAUCCAUAGCUGGUUUGAGAGGAUGAGCAGACACACUGGGACUGAGACACGGCCCAGACUCCUACGGGAGGCAGGAGUGCGGAAUCUUAGACAGUGGGCGCAAGCCUGAUCUAGCCAUGCCGCGUGAGCGAUGAAGGCCUUAGGGUUGUAAAGCUCUUUCGUGGGGGAAGAUAAUGACUGUACCCCAAGAAGAAGCCCCGGCUAACUCCGUGCCAGCCGCCGCCGUAA